RNAcentral lists this long non-coding RNA (204 nucleotides) under Elaeis guineensis (African oil palm). RNAcentral's name for it is "long non-coding RNA (EGUI_LNC079058)". Lineage: Eukaryota; Viridiplantae; Streptophyta; Magnoliopsida; Arecales; Arecaceae. The record is from RNAcentral.
CCAAUAUAAACCAUGCAAGAUGGAUUCCACACCACUGGCCUCGAACCAAAGAAAUCCCUCCAAUGAUUCAAGCCUUUGUGGCAAUCAUGACCACAUGGAUCAAUAGAUCGAAAUCGAAAUCUAAGUCCAAGUCAAUAUAGAGAAAAGAAAACCCUAAAUAGUAGGGGAAGUUGCCAGCUGAGAAAACCUAAUUGGGAAUUUUCU